This 736-nucleotide ribosomal RNA is filed under the name uncultured Staphylococcus sp. RNAcentral's name for it is "bacterial SSU rRNA". It matches the Rfam family "Bacterial small subunit ribosomal RNA", at positions 61 to 779 of the family's 1533-position model. Lineage: Bacteria; Bacillati; Bacillota; Bacilli; Caryophanales; Staphylococcaceae. The record is from RNAcentral.
GUCGAGCGAACAGACGAGGAGCUUGCUCCUCUGACGUUAGCGGCGGACGGGUGAGUAACACGCGGAUAACCUACCUAUAAGACUGGGAUAACUUCGGGAAACCGGAGCUAAUACCGGAUAAUAUAUUGAACCGCACGGUUCAAUAGUGAAAGACGGUUUUGCUGUCACUUAUAGAUGGAUCCGCGCCGCAUUAGCUAGUUGGUAAGGUAACGGCUUACCAAGGCAACGAUGCGUAGCCGACCUGAGAGGGUGAUCGGCCACACUGGAACUGAGACACGGUCCAGACUCCUACGGGAGGCAGCAGUAGGGAAUCUUCCGCAAUGGGCGAAAGCCUGACGGAGCAACGCCGCGUGAGUGAUGAAGGUCUUCGGAUCGUAAAACUCUGUUAUUAGGGAAGAACAAAUGUGUAAGUAACUAUGCACGUCUUGACGGUACCUAAUCAGAAAGCCACGGCUAACUACGUGCCAGCAGCCGCGGUAAUACGUAGGUGGCAAGCGUUAUCCGGAAUUAUUGGGCGUAAAGCGCGCGUAGGCGGUUUUUUAAGUCUGAUGUGAAAGCCCACGGCUCAACCGUGGAGGGUCAUUGGAAACUGGAAAACUUGAGUGCAGAAGAGGAAAGUGGAAUUCCAUGUGUAGCGGUGAAAUGCGCAGAGAUAUGGAGGAACACCAGUGGCGAAGGCGACUUUCUGGUCUGCAACUGACGCUGAUGUGCGAAAGCGUGGGGAUCAAACAGGAUU